Podarcis muralis (Common wall lizard) is the source of this 133-nucleotide small nucleolar RNA. Ensembl annotates it as small nucleolar RNA SNORA55. NCBI's taxonomy places the organism in Eukaryota, Metazoa, Chordata, Lepidosauria, Squamata, Lacertidae. The record is from Ensembl.
GCAUCUGAAUCUUUCCCGCUCCUUGCUGUGAGGUGCAGGCCCGGGGACAUAUGAUGCUAAAGCAACGCAGAGGAAAUCCAGGCAAGUUUAUGUUCUCUUACAAAAGACUUGCCUCUACAACUCUGUAACAUUU